AUGCAAGUCUAACGAUGAUCCCAGCUUGCUGGGGGAUUAGUGGCGAACGGGUGAGUAACACGUGAGUAACCUGCCCUUGACUCUGGGAUAAGCCUGGGAAACUGGGUCUAAUACCGGAUACGACCAUUCCACGCAUGUGGUGGUGGUGGAAAGCUUUUGUGGUUUUGGAUGGACUCGCGGCCUAUCAGCUUGUUGGUGGGGUAAUGGCCUACCAAGGCGACGACGGGUACCCGGCCUGAGAGGGUGACCGGCCACACUGGGACUGACACACGGCUAAGACUCCUACGGGAGGCAGCAGUGGGGAAUAUUGCACAAUGGGCGCAAGCCUGAUGCAGCGACGCCGCGUGAGGGAUGACGGCCUUCGGGUUGUAAACCUCUUUCAGUAGGGAAGAAGCGUAAGUGACGGUACCUGCAGAAGAAGCGCCGGCUAACUACGUGCCAGCAGCCGCGGUAAUACGUAGGGCGCAAGCGUUAUCCGGAAUUAUUGGGCGUAAAGAGCUCGUAGGCGGUUUGUCGCGUCUGCUGUGAAAGACCGGGGCUCAACUCCGGUUCUGCAGUGGGUACGGGCAGACUAGAGUGCAGUAGGGGAGACUGGAAUUCCUGGUGUAGCGGUGAAAUGCGCAGAUAUCAGGAGGAACACCGAUGGCGAAGGCAGGUCUCUGGGCUGUAACUGACGCUGAGGAGCGAAAGCAUGGGGGAG
This 700-nucleotide ribosomal RNA is filed under the name Arthrobacter sp. DNG13. Its description in RNAcentral is "bacterial SSU rRNA". It matches the Rfam family "Bacterial small subunit ribosomal RNA", at positions 55 to 769 of the family's 1533-position model. The record is from RNAcentral. Lineage: Bacteria; Bacillati; Actinomycetota; Actinomycetes; Micrococcales; Micrococcaceae.